Molecule: ribosomal RNA, 422 nt
Filed under: uncultured bacterium
Lineage: Bacteria
Description: partial 16S ribosomal RNA
Rfam family: Bacterial small subunit ribosomal RNA
Source: RNAcentral
UGGGGAAUAUUGGACAAUGGGCGAAAGCCUGAUCCAGCAAUUCCGCGUGUGUGAAGAAGGCCUUCGGGUUGUAAAGCACUUUAGUGGGGGAAGAAACAGCUUGGCCACACCAAGCCUUGACGGUACCCCAAGAAUAAGCACCGGCUAACUCUGUGCCAGCAGCCGCGGUAAUACAGAGGGUGCAAGCGUUAAUCGGAUUUACUGGGCGUAAAGGGUGCGUAGGUGGUUUUUUAAGUCGGAUGUGAAAGCCUGGGGCUCAACCUCAGAAUUGCAUUCGAUACUGGGAAACUAGAGUUCGGUAGAGGGCAGCGGAAUUUCCGGUGUAGCGGUGAAAUGCGUAGAUAUCGGAAGGAACAUCAAUGGCGAAGGCAGCCGCCUGGGCCUGGACUGACACUGAGGCACGAAAGCGUGGGUAGCAAACA